RNAcentral lists this long non-coding RNA (1518 nucleotides) under Sus scrofa (pig). Its description in RNAcentral is "lncRNA (ENSSSCG00065048911.1)". Lineage: Eukaryota; Metazoa; Chordata; Mammalia; Artiodactyla; Suidae. The record is from RNAcentral.
AAGGCUGGUUGCAGAACAGGCCGGUCCACACUAGCUUGGGCACCUCCUGGGUGGACAACACCCGGUGUCUCAGGCUUUGAAACUCCACUCUGUGGCAGUGCCACUCAACCCCAUGGCACCCUCGCUCCUGUGCCCAUGGAGAGGCCAUCUGGAUCACCUGCUCAGGAUUGUCAAAGAAAACAACACAGGAUUCCAGGCAGACCUUCAACUGCUCAUCCACUGACAGGUGCCCAGGUAUCCCUCCCGCCACUUCCCUGUCCACGCCCCAUCCAGAUCCUGCAGCGGGGUGACCACAGCCACCUUUGCAGAGGAGGGCGAGCUGCGCAUGUAAGCGCAUGUACGGUGGCAAGGACCGCCGCUCCCUCCUGCUGCGUGGCGUUCUGGCACGCCAGCUCCUAGAGUGCAAGGACUCCUGAGACCUGGAGGACGCCAAGGUUGUAUGCUGCCACCUGGGCAAUAGCCAGGCUGUGGGCACCCUGGUGGGGGCCACCUUUGGGCCAGGCUCUGGACCCAUGUGGCUGGAGGAGGUGGGGUGGCGGGGCAGCGAGUCACCCUUUGGAGCUGCCCCGCGGAGCCAUUUGGUCACGGAGACUGCCGGCACAAGCACAUGGAGGGCACUGCUCAGGUCCUUCUGUGGCCCUUUGACCUGCCCGCCAGGCUGAGACUCUGCCCAUGACUCUCAGUGUGGUCCUUGGCACCCUCCUGGUUGUCAUCUCACUGGUCCUGGGAGCACGGUGGUUCCAGGGCAGAGGAGCCUUCAGGGGUUCCGGAACGUUGGGGAGUCUGCCCUCGGAAGGCGUUUAUGAGGUCUUUGGAGCUGUCCCCAUGGGGGUAAAGGACGAUGGGCUCAGAGUGUCCAGGGUCCUGGAGCUGGAGGAGGAGUAUGAUGACGCAGAGGAGCCCCUGCUCAGCCCUGAGGAGAGGGAAGCGGAGGAGGGGGCCCCCCUGACCAACGCAGGUGUGCACCUCUGCGCCUUGGCAUCCCUGGUGCUUUUCCUGCUGUACUGCUCCUACGCCCAAGGCUUUUCUCUGGCCAGCCCCUACAUCUAAAGAUCCUCAAAGUGCCUCUCUGUGUGUUUGUGACUCUCACUUCCAUCAUAGGCUUGGUGUUCAGAGUUUAGGGAGGUCCUAGAUUUUUAUGUGGGUUUCUUUCUGUGGUUGCGCUUGUCCCUCCAGUGCCAUGUCCAGCGGCUGCAGGGGCCUGAGCAGACAGGUGGGCAGAGAUGUGCACGCAGCAGCACACUGUCGGCUCGCUCCAUCCAGUCCUUGACCAAGCCUCCAGCCUCACCGUGCGGCAAGAAGCCAGGGCCCAGAAUUCCUGAGGAAUUGCUGAGGGUCCCCAAUGUGUGUCUCUGUCCUUAAACAGAGGUGGGGCUCCUCACAGCUCAGGCUGGGAAGGACGAACAGGGCAGCCUCUGCCCCAGGACAUGCUGACCAUGAGCCAACCACAGGGACCUCCGCAAGACCAGAGGGUGGGGCUUUCAUUUUCCUCAAUUCUUCAAGAGAUUUAUUGUAUCA